AGGUUGUUUGGUUUUGUGUU
This 20-nucleotide microRNA is filed under the name Bos taurus (domestic cattle). RNAcentral describes it as "bta-miR-2325b". Lineage: Eukaryota; Metazoa; Chordata; Mammalia; Artiodactyla; Bovidae. The record is from miRBase by way of RNAcentral.